CUCACAGGUAGCCUUGGACAAAUCACUCUCUUUCAGCCUAACCUACUUAAGGGAGUUGUUGCAAGCACAGAAUGCACAGAAGCAGCAGUGGUUAAAAACAGGUUAACAAGAGACAACAUGACAGGAGAAUCCAUCUCUGUGUAUAUAAAUCCUGCAGAGAAUGUAUUAUGCUUUUUACAGGCCCCAUGACCGCCACCUGCUAACAUAUUGACUGAUGAACAGGGAACAGGUGCACAGGGAACAGAAAGGUCAUACUCUGCAUAUUUAGGAAGGGCAAUGGAAGAGGACAGAGGCCCUCACCUUAGGUGUUCACGCUCAGUAUGAUUUUAGGGAUCACUGAAGUAAGCAACAGCAAAUAUCUGGCACAUGAGAAAGUCUUGUGUAUUGCUAAGAGAUUGCUGAAUUCUCUCUAUAAGAAACCUUCUUUCAAGUCUAUCUGCUUAUCCCAUAUGCUCUUCAGCUUGUGCACUUGCUUUUCCUCUACAGUGUAAUAAAAAUCAUUUUGGAUAUUA
Molecule: long non-coding RNA, 512 nt
Organism: Lacerta agilis (Sand lizard)
Lineage: Eukaryota; Metazoa; Chordata; Lepidosauria; Squamata; Lacertidae
Exons: 2
Source: RefSeq, a predicted model, not a curated record